UAGUCUGGUGCCAGCAGCCGCGGUAAUUCCAGCUCCAAUAGCGUAUAUUAAAGUUGUUGCAGUUAAAACGCUCGUAGUCGGAUUUCGGGGCAGGUUUGCCGGUCUGCCGAUGGGUAUGCACUGGUAGAACUGUCCUUCCUUCCGGAGACGGCGCCUACUCUUAACUGAGCGGGUGUCGGAGACGGAUCGUUUACUUUGAAAAAAUCAGAGUGUUUCAAGCAGGCAGCUCGCUUUUGCAUGGAUUAGCAUGGGAUAAUGAAAUAGGACUUUGGUGCUAUUUUGUUGGUUUCGAACACCGAAGUAAUGAUUAACAGGGACAGUCAGGGGCACUCGUAUUCCGCCGAGAGAGGUGAAAUUCUUAGACCAGCGGAAGACGAACCACUGCGAAAGCAUUUGCCAGGGAUGUUUUCACUGAUCAAGAACGAAAGUUAGGGGAUCGAAGACGAUCAGAUACCGUCGUAGUCUUAACCAUAAACCAUGCCGACUAGGGGUUGGAGGAUGUUCCUAUGUGACUCCUUCAGCACCUUUCGGGAAACUAAAGUCUUUGGGUUCCGGGGGGAGUAUGGUCGCAAGGCUGAAACUUAAAGGAAUUGACGGAAGGGCACCACCAGGAGUGGAGCCUGCGGCUUAAUUUGACUCAACACGGGGAAACUUACCAGGUCCAGACAUUGUGAGGAUUGACAGAUUGAGAGCUCUUUCUUGAUUCGAUGGGUGGUGGU
This 719-nucleotide ribosomal RNA is filed under the name uncultured eukaryote. Its description in RNAcentral is "SSU rRNA". It matches the Rfam family "Eukaryotic small subunit ribosomal RNA", at positions 557 to 1281 of the family's 1831-position model. The record is from RNAcentral.